GACGAACGCUGGCGGCGUGCUUAACACAUGCAAGUCGAGCGGAAAGGCUCCUUUGGGGGUACUCGAGCGGCGAACGGGUGAGUAACACGUGAGUAAUCUGCCUCUCACUCUGGGAUAACUGUCUGAAAGGGUGGCUAAUACCGGAUAUUCUCUCUGCAUCGCAUGGUGUGGGGUGGGAAGAUUUUUUGGUGGGAGAUGUGCUCGCGGCCUAUCAGCUUGUUGGUGGGGUAAUGGCCUACCAAGGCUUCGACGGGUAGCCGGCCUGAGAGGGUGACCGGCCACACUGGGACUGAGACACGGCCCGGACUCCUACGGGAGGCAGCAGUGGGGAAUAUUGGACAAUGGGCGGAAGCCUGAUCCAGCAACGCCGCGUGAGGGAUGACGGCCUUCGGGUUGUAAACCUCUUUCAGCACAGACGAAGCGCCCUGUCGGGUGGUGACGGUAUGUGCAGAAGAAGCACCGGCCAACUACGUGCCAGCAGCCGCGGUAAUACGUAGGGUGCGAGCGUUGUCCGGAAUUAUUGGGCGUAAAGGGCUCGUAAGCGGUUUGUCGCGUCGGGAGUGAAAUCCAUUGGCUUAACUGGUGGCUUGC
Molecule: ribosomal RNA, 591 nt
Filed under: uncultured bacterium
Lineage: Bacteria
Description: bacterial SSU rRNA
Rfam family: Bacterial small subunit ribosomal RNA
Source: RNAcentral